RNAcentral lists this ribosomal RNA (217 nucleotides) under Panthera onca (jaguar). RNAcentral's name for it is "partial 12S ribosomal RNA". It matches the Rfam family "Bacterial small subunit ribosomal RNA", at positions 765 to 1059 of the family's 1533-position model. Lineage: Eukaryota; Metazoa; Chordata; Mammalia; Carnivora; Felidae. The record is from RNAcentral.
UCCCAAACUGGGAUUAGAUACCCCACUAUGCUUAGCCCUAAACCUAGAUAGUUAGCUCAAACAAAACUAUCCGCCAGAGAACUACUAGCAACAGCUUAAAACUCAAAGGACUUGGCGGUGCUUUAUAUCCCUCUAGAGGAGCCUGUUCUAUAAUCGAUAAACCCCGAUAAACCUCACCAUCUCUUGCUAAUUCAGCCUAUAUACCGCCAUCUUCAGC